CGAAAUUGGUAGACGCUACGGACUUAAAAUCCGUCGACUUUAAAAAUCGUGAGGGUUCAAGUCCCUCUAUCCCCA
Molecule: transfer RNA, 75 nt
Filed under: Eucalyptus x tetragona (white-leaved marlock)
Lineage: Eukaryota; Viridiplantae; Streptophyta; Magnoliopsida; Myrtales; Myrtaceae
Also listed under: 1 other name
Description: Eucalyptus tetragona (white-leaved marlock) partial tRNA-Leu
Rfam family: tRNA
About the family: Transfer RNA (tRNA) molecules are approximately 80 nucleotides in length. Their secondary structure includes four short double-helical elements and three loops (D, anti-codon, and T loops). Further hydrogen bonds mediate the characteristic L-shaped molecular structure. tRNAs have two regions of fundamental functional importance: the anti-codon, which is responsible for specific mRNA codon recognition, and the 3' end, to which the tRNAs corresponding amino acid is attached (by aminoacyl-tRNA synthetases). tRNAs cope with the degeneracy of the genetic code in two manners: having more than one tRNA (with a specific anti-codon) for a particular amino acid; and 'wobble' base-pairing, i.e. permitting non-standard base-pairing at the 3rd anti-codon position.
Source: RNAcentral